This 172-nucleotide long non-coding RNA is filed under the name Ictidomys tridecemlineatus (thirteen-lined ground squirrel). RNAcentral describes it as "lncRNA (ENSSTOG00000032534.1)". The record is from RNAcentral. Lineage: Eukaryota; Metazoa; Chordata; Mammalia; Rodentia; Sciuridae.
UAAUCUGAAGACUGCUGCUGGAGGGGCCCCUGAAGGAGACACCAGCUUGGUUUUCGAGCAGCGGCUCUCUAAGGUGUGGAAGAAGGAAAAGCUUCCAGUUACACCCAGAAAGUGUUAAGGCACAGCUCAGAAUCCCAAGGAAAGCUCUCAACGGAGUGUUUUAUAAAUCAAA